ACGAAGGGGGCUAGCGUUGUUCGGAUUUACUGGGCGUAAAGCGCGUGUAGGCGGGCUGGAAAGUUGGGGGUGAAAUCCCGAGGCUCAACCUCGGAACUGCCUCCAAAACUUCCAGCCUGGACUCAAGCAGAGGCAAGUGGAAUUGCGAGUGUAGAGGUGAAAUUCGUAGAUAUUCGCAGGAACACCAGUGGCGAAGGCGGCAUCCUGGACCGAGAUUGACGCUGAGGCGCGAAAGCUAGGGUAGCAAACGGGA
RNAcentral lists this ribosomal RNA (253 nucleotides) under uncultured prokaryote. RNAcentral's name for it is "partial 16S ribosomal RNA". It matches the Rfam family "Bacterial small subunit ribosomal RNA", at positions 525 to 777 of the family's 1533-position model. The record is from RNAcentral.